GAUUCAUGGCUCAGGAUGAACGCUAGCUACAGGCUUAACACAUGCAAGUCGAGGGGCAGCAUGGUCUUAGCUUGCUAAGGCCGAUGGCGACCGGCGCACGGGUGAGUAACGCGUAUCCAACCUGCCUUACACUCUUGGACAGCCUUCUGAAAGGGAGAUUAAUACAAGAUGUUAUCAUGAGUAAGCAUUUUCGCAUGAUUAAAGGUUUACCGGUGUAAGAUGGGGAUGCGUU
This 232-nucleotide ribosomal RNA is filed under the name uncultured bacterium. RNAcentral's name for it is "partial 16S ribosomal RNA". It matches the Rfam family "Bacterial small subunit ribosomal RNA", at positions 15 to 237 of the family's 1533-position model. The record is from RNAcentral.